AACGUAGGAGGCAAGCGUUAUCCGGAGUUACUGGGCGUAAAGCGCAUGUAGGCGGUUAUGCAAGUGGCGUGUGAAAGCUCCCGGCUAAACUGGGAGAGGACACGUCAGACUGCAUGGCUAGAGGGUGUUAGAGGGGCGCAGAAUUCGGGGUGUAGCGGUGAAAUGCGCAGAUAUCAGGAGGAACACCGGUGGCGAAGGCGGCUUGCUGGGCCUUACCUGACGCUGAGGAGCGAAAGCGUGGGGAGCGAACAGG
RNAcentral lists this ribosomal RNA (253 nucleotides) under uncultured bacterium. RNAcentral's name for it is "partial 16S ribosomal RNA". It matches the Rfam family "Bacterial small subunit ribosomal RNA", at positions 524 to 776 of the family's 1533-position model. The record is from RNAcentral.